RNAcentral lists this ribosomal RNA (917 nucleotides) under Flaviaestuariibacter flavus. RNAcentral's name for it is "Flaviaesturariibacter flavus Bacterial small subunit ribosomal RNA". It matches the Rfam family "Bacterial small subunit ribosomal RNA", at positions 1 to 911 of the family's 1533-position model. Lineage: Bacteria; Pseudomonadati; Bacteroidota; Chitinophagia; Chitinophagales; Chitinophagaceae. The record is from Rfam by way of RNAcentral.
ACAAUGGAGAGUUUGAUCCUGGCUCAGGAUGAACGCUAGCGGCAGGCUUAAUACAUGCAAGUCGAGGGGCAGCAUGGUUGUAGCAAUACAACUGAUGGCGACCGGCAAACGGGUGCGGAACACGUACACAACUUACCCUGAACUGGGGGAUAGCCUUCCGAAAGGGAGAUUAAUACCUCAUAGGAUCGUGGAGUGGCAUCACUCAGCGAUUAAAGCUCCGGCGGUUUAGGAUGGGUGUGCGGCUGAUUAGGUAGUUGGUUGAGGUAACGGCUCACCAAGCCUGCGAUCAGUAACUGGUGUGAGAGCACGACCAGUCACACGGGCACUGAGACACGGGCCCGACUCCUACGGGAGGCAGCAGUAAGGAAUAUUGGUCAAUGGACGCAAGUCUGAACCAGCCAUGCCGCGUGAAGGAUGAAGGUCCUCUGGAUUGUAAACUUCUUUUAUAGGGGACGAAAUCAACAUUUCCAUGUUGUCUGACGGUACCCUAGGAAUAAGCACCGGCUAACUCCGUGCCAGCAGCCGCGGUAAUACGGAGGGUGCAAGCGUUAUCCGGAUUCACUGGGUUUAAAGGGAGCGUAGGAGGGCAGGUAAGUCAGUGGUGAAAUCUUUGGGCUUAACCCGAAAACUGCCAUUGAUACUAUCUGUCUUGAAUAUGGUGGAGGUGAGCGGAAUAUGUCAUGUAGCGGUGAAAUGCUUAGAUAUGACAUAGAACACCGAUUGCGAAGGCAGCUCGCUACGCCUAUAUUGACUCUGAGGCUCGAAAGCGUGGGGAUCAAACAGGAUUAGAUACCCUGGUAGUCCACGCCCUAAACGAUGGAUACUCGACGUGUGCGAUAUGACUGUACGCGUCUGAGCGAAAGCAUUAAGUAUCCCACCUGGGAAGUACGACCGCAAGGUUGAAACUCAAAGGAAUU